AUUGAACGCUGGCGGCAGGCCUAACACAUGCAAGUCGAGCGGAUGAAGGGAGCUUGCUCCUGGAUUCAGCGGCGGACGGGUGAGUAAUGCCUAGGAAUCUGCCUGGUAUUGGGGGAUAACGUCCGGACACGGGCGCUAAUACCGCAUACGUCCUGAGUGUGAAAGUGGGGGAUCUUCGGACCUCACGCUAUCAGAUGAGCCUAGGUCGGAUUAGCUAGUUGGUAGGGUAAAGGCCUACCAAGGCGACGAUCCGUAACUGGUCUGAGAGGAUGAUCAGUCACACUGGAACUGAGACACGGUCCAGACUCCUACGGGAGGCAGCAGUGGGGAAUAUUGGACAAUGGGCGAAAGCCUGAUGCAGCAAUGCCGCGUGUGUGAAGAAGGUCUUCGGAUUGUAAAGCACUUUAAGUUGGGAGGAAGGGCAGUAAGUUAAUCCCUUGCUGUUUUGACGUUACCAACAGAAUAAGCACCGGCUAACUUCGUG
This 484-nucleotide ribosomal RNA is filed under the name uncultured bacterium. RNAcentral's name for it is "partial 16S ribosomal RNA". It matches the Rfam family "Bacterial small subunit ribosomal RNA", at positions 30 to 507 of the family's 1533-position model. The record is from RNAcentral.